RNAcentral lists this ribosomal RNA (450 nucleotides) under uncultured Glomeromycotina. RNAcentral's name for it is "SSU rRNA". It matches the Rfam family "Eukaryotic small subunit ribosomal RNA", at positions 569 to 1024 of the family's 1831-position model. Lineage: Eukaryota; Fungi; Glomeromycota. The record is from RNAcentral.
AGCAGCCGCGGUAAUUCCAGCUCCAAUAGCGUAUAUUAAAGUUGUUGCAGUUAAAAAGCUCGUAGUUGAAUUUCGGGGUUAGUAGGUUGGUCAUGCCUCUGGUAUGUACUGGUCUCACUGAUUCCUCCUUCCUUAUGAACCGUAAUGCUAUUAAUUUGGUGUUGCGGGGAAUUUGGACUGUUACUUUGAAAAAUUAGAGUGUUUAAAGCAAGCUAACGCUUGAAUACAUUAGCAUGGAAUAAUGAAAUAGGACGUUCGAUCUUAUUUUGUUGGUUUCUAGGAUUGACGUAAUGAUUAAUAGGGAUAGUUGGGGGCAUUAGUAUUCAAUUGUCAGAGGUGAAAUUCUUGGAUUUAUUGAAGACUAACUACUGCGAAAGCAUUUGCCAAGGAUGUUUUCAUUAAUCAAGAACGAAAGUUAGGGGAUCGAAGACGAUCAGAUACCGUCGUAGU